Molecule: non-coding RNA, 231 nt
Organism: Pelobates cultripes (western spadefoot toad)
Lineage: Eukaryota; Metazoa; Chordata; Amphibia; Anura; Pelobatidae
Source: the annotation of a GenBank genome assembly
GCAUUAUUUGCAUGUGAAGGUUUGGGAUUUGUGGGACCAGGCAGUUGGUUUCACUGGGGGGUCCCAGUCAAAGGAGGGGCGAAGGGAUACCUUGCUGUGGUUCCUAAGCCACUUGUUCAUUCAGCGUUAGCUCCAGCGGCAAUGGACAGGGUUCAAACUGACCGAUUUGGAGAAAGCGAUGGAACGUUGUCACGUCCGUCAGGCAUCUCGGGUCUUACAGAGAGGUAUGAA